UACGGGGGGGCAAGCGUUGUUCGGAAUUACUGGGCGUAAAGGGCGCGUAGGCGGUCUGUUAAGUCGGAUGUGAAAACUCUGGGCUCAACCCAGAGCCUGCAUCCGAAACUGGCAGGCUAGAGUUCUGGAGGGGGUAGCGGAAUUCCUGGUGUAGCGGUGAAAUGCGCAGAUAUCAGGAGGAACACCGGUGGCGAAGGCGGGUCUCUGGGCCGAUACUGACGCUGAGGAGCGAAAGCGUGGGGAGCGAACAGG
Molecule: ribosomal RNA, 252 nt
Filed under: uncultured bacterium
Lineage: Bacteria
Description: partial 16S ribosomal RNA
Rfam family: Bacterial small subunit ribosomal RNA
Source: RNAcentral